CGGCUUUUCAUUUCAUUGCAUUUCUAUAGAUUUACUCAGAGAAAUUGUUUGCAAUGAAUAGGCUUUGUUUGAGUUUUUAUUUAUUUUAAAAGUUAUAUUUAUUUCAAUUGCUUUGAAAUUCUAGCUCAAUUCGUUAGCUUUGUGGUAGAAUUUGAGCUCGAUUAAAUUUCUUUGGACUCGUUUAGAAUCUGUUUGGUUGUUGAGAAAUCGUAGGAAAAUAAAUGAGUUUAUAUUGUAUCGGUUUUGUUGAGAUUUUUUUUGUUGAAAAUUUUUAGUUUUUUAAUUUUUUUUAAUUUUUAUAAUUUUAUUGUUGGUGUUUUCAAUUGGUAAAUUUUCUAGCUCGAAUCCCUAACCGUUAACUUGUGCUGAAAUUUGAGUUCUAUUAAAUUUCUUUGAUUCAUUCGAGAAUCUAUUUGGUUGUCUAAAAAUUGUAGGAAAAGAAUGAUGUAUUGGAGAGGAUUUUGGGAUUGAAUUGGCUUUGUGUGUGUGUAUAUAUUCAAUUGCUUAAAUUUCUAGCUUAAAUUGUUAAUUUGUGUUGGAUUUUGAACUCGGUUAUCUUGUACAUUCUGGUUUGAUUUGAGCUUAAAUUAUUGGUUGAUUUUGCUAUUGGAUUUUGGAUGAAAAAUAGUAAGUAAAGCUUGAAUUUUUAGGUUCUAUGUGGAAAGAUUAAGUCCUGGAAUUUGAUCUAGAUCUUGAAUUUCUAUAGCUAAGGAUUUAUUGCAUUAUUCAGAUCUACUCACUCGAUGAUGAUUUUGGGUUUUAAUGAUAGUUCAAAAUGGAAGUAUUCAGGGCUUUAGAUUGUGAAUUUUGAAUCUUUUAAGGAUGAUAAAAAGAUCUUUCGGUACUGUUCUUUAUAGCCAAAUUCUUCAGAUUAGAUUGAUGUUAUUUAUACUUCAGUGACUUGAUGUGAGAAUUCGUGUGCUUUGUAUUGCCAAUGUGCUAUUAGUAAUGUCUUUGAUUGUGUUUGCAAUGCCUUUUUCAUGUGGAGGUUCAAACCAUUUAUGCAAAAAGAACCUGCGGGGCUUGAAGGCCAUUCGCUUGAUUGAUCAUAAAGGACUAAGAGGCAUUGGGAGAGGAACAAUAACUUACUGCUUGUGUUAUAGUAAUGGGAGCAUCCAAGCUUGUACAAACCCUCUUGUCUCAAGCACAUGGAGGAGGUACUACUUAGUUGGAACCAAAUCUAUUUCUCAUUAAGGAUCAGCUGUAAUAUAGGUUUCCCCAAUGGAUACAUUGAUUUCUCAUUAAGAAGACAAUUCAAAUCGGAUAAUACAGUUACGGAGAGUCUGAAGCUCAUUCAUCAUUAGAAAUUCUCUUUCACAAAAAUAUGGCUUUUAGCUACUCAAUUUGAGAUCCGGCAGUUGAAUCUCAAGGCUGCACUACAGAUCCUACGCAAUGCAAUUGGAAAAACUCCUAAAGAUAAGGCAAGAUAGUGGUGUCCUUGGCCAUUACUGAGGCAGCUUAUACGCCCAUGUUGCACUCUCGCAUUUUUACCGAGACUGAAAAGUACUGUGACCAGGAAUUUACCACUUGCAAGGAGGAUCAGCCAUUGUUUGUCCAAAUGAUCCAGACAUUUGUUAGAGGCUGCAAAGAGAGUGGAAGCUUUUUGUGACUAUGUUGACAUCAAUUUGGGGUGGCUUUGCUGUUAAUUUGGGUUGCUGAUAUAAGGAAACAUGUGAAGAAUUUAGAAUUUGGGAAGGGACAUGUAUAUAAAGCUGUGCAUGUAACCGAUUUUUAUUUCCUUUCAUCAACUUUGGCCUUAUAUAGGAUGUAUUAGGAUUUGUUCUGUUCACCUACUACCAUGAUAGAUUGUGCAAAGAACCUUGCUUUUACAAUUUAAAACUCUUGCCCCUGUUGACUAUUGAAUUAGAUCAUAUAAAUAUUGAUCGGGUUAAUUUGA
Molecule: long non-coding RNA, 1897 nt
Organism: Quercus lobata
Lineage: Eukaryota; Viridiplantae; Streptophyta; Magnoliopsida; Fagales; Fagaceae
Exons: 6
Source: RefSeq, a predicted model, not a curated record